UACGAAGGGGGCUAGCGUUGCUCGGAAUCACUGGGCGUAAAGCGCACGUAGGCGGAUCUUUAAGUCAGGGGUGAAAUCCUGGAGCUCAACUCCAGAACUGCCUUUGAUACUGGGGAUCUCGAGUCCGGAAGAGGUGAGUGGAACUCCGAGUGUAGAGGUGAAAUUCGUAGAUAUUCGCAAGAACACCAGUGGCGAAGGCGGCUCACUGGUCCGGUACUGACGCUGAGGUGCGAAAGCGUGGGGAGCAAACAGG
Molecule: ribosomal RNA, 253 nt
Filed under: uncultured bacterium
Lineage: Bacteria
Description: partial 16S ribosomal RNA
Rfam family: Bacterial small subunit ribosomal RNA
Source: RNAcentral